GUCCAUUUAGAAUCAUCGUUAUAGAGAUUGCUCCCCACAAAAGGGAAAAAGGUGACCACCGAAUAAACUGGAAGGCACCUGCUAUACCAAACCUACAGGAUGGAUCAAAACUUAAAAUUUGGAAUUCAAGUGAGUAUACUCUCACAGGCCUUGAUCUCCUCCGCCUGCCCAUCAACAAUCACCUGACCAGCCGGGGUUGCCGUCACCACCUUCAUCACAGCAUUGAAUAUAGCAGACUGGAACAUAUCGUCUUCCACUUUCUUCAGAACUUCCUCCACCACUUUGAAUCGCAAACCACCAACCAGGACCAGCUUUCCAAUAACUUCACCAAAAUAGGUGGGUGCUUUCGGCAAAUCAAUCCCUAUAUCAUCCAGCAUCGAUGCAUAUAGUAAACACCCUGUCCCUAAAUCCUUCGGCAUAAACACCUUCUUAGAAAGGAAGUACUCCAGAAGCUUAACAAGCGGGUCAAUACAGGAUUGGCCCUUAUCAAGAGCAAGAUUGAUGGCCUCCUUGACAACCUCAGGGUGGAAUUCAGGGCUCUUCAACUCUUCCACACACUGAAGUGCUUCAUCCAACAUUCGAAUAUGGAAAUACUCUUCCAGGAGAGAAGUUGUUUUCUUCUGCAGCUCAAUAAGAUUUAAUCUUGGAGCAGCAGCCUUUGGCUUCUCAGUAACAGGUGCUGGGGAAGUAACUGGACCAAGCGGUUUUGAAGGCCCUGGACCUGAGCCGGUAACAAGACUUGAAGGUCGACUUGGCAGGCCACCACCACUUCCCAGCAGUGCACUGGUCUUGCCAGCAAUGAUACCACCACUACCCUGCGGUAGCAGCUUUGAGUUGAUAGGCAAUGCUCUGCUGGCAAUAGGAUUCUGCAUUCUAGAAGCAUCACCCUUGUGUGAGGAUCUAGAUCGCUGAACUUCCCAAUUGUCACCGUCUAGGCCUGGCAUCCCGGGCAUCUUUUUUCCUCCCGGCAUUCCAGGCAUCUUACCUCCAGUUCCAGGUCCAAUACCAGAAAGGCCACCACCUGACGUACCUCCACCACGACCAUCUCUAAUGUUGGAAGAACUUCCCGCACGAAGCCCAAGGGACUUCUCUGCCUCAGAGUGGAUUUCACUAAUAGUCUUGGCCUUCACCUCUUCACGCCGGGGGACCCAUUUGUUCGCUCGCAAAUCAAGGACAUCACGUAUCAUAAAUUUGAGCCGUGCUGCAAGAUCAGGGUGUGUUCUAAGCUCCUUUAGCCGAAUAAAGUAACCAUCAUUAAAACGACGGAACUUAGGACUUGCAUCCAAUUGCUUGCCAAUGGUAAUGAAAAACUGGCAAAUUGCCUCUACAUUUUCUUCAGCGGGGCAAGUCUUGCUAUCAGGCCCAAGAAGUUCCUGAACAAUGUGAUGAACA
RNAcentral lists this unclassified non-coding RNA (1392 nucleotides) under Hevea brasiliensis (rubber tree). The record is from RNAcentral. Lineage: Eukaryota; Viridiplantae; Streptophyta; Magnoliopsida; Malpighiales; Euphorbiaceae.